AGGGUGCAUUUGGUUCACGCUACUAUAAUAGUAAUAGCAUCAAGUCAUUGGUGCUAUUAGGUUUUUGGCCCUUGGAUAAAGAGAUGUACAGUUAGGAUGAUAGUAGUCAAAUGGAUGGUUGGUGGAAUAGUAUGAUUUAAAGAAUAGAAAUGGUCAAAAGGGUAGAUCUAACAGCAAAAAAUUUAGUAGUACCAAGUGCUUGGUGCUAUUGAUAGCUAGUAGCCAGACUUGUG
RNAcentral lists this long non-coding RNA (233 nucleotides) under Ananas comosus (pineapple). RNAcentral describes it as "long non-coding RNA (ACOM_LNC041527)". The record is from RNAcentral. Lineage: Eukaryota; Viridiplantae; Streptophyta; Magnoliopsida; Poales; Bromeliaceae.